UAACUAUGCGUGUACAUUACCGCGGCGAUUUACCGAACUACGUAUCUUAACCUAUACACAGCGCAGUUCUCGACGAGCCGUGUUUCAAUGAAAGCCCCGGCAACAAAACCCCCCGGGGCCGGAUCGCCGCCGUCAAUCGACUUUUGACGAAUCGAGACGUCGCUGCACUUUCCGAGGCCACGUAGCGUUGCCGAUUCUGUGUGCGGUCCGACCAAACACCGUUCCAUUCUACUUACGAACGUUGUCCCCGCAUUUCAGUCGAACGGAUUCCACAUUCAAACGUCAGUUCCUUUCGCCGGAAGAAUUUCUACCGAUUUCUGUCGAUCAAAUUUAUCUAAAUUGUACAUAACCCUACCACGCGGAUCAAUAUGAACGGUCUCGCGUUUGUUAUUUUCAAAGUGUCGACAUUAUGAAGACUUUAAAAAAAACACAAUUGGAUAAGUUUCCUUUUCCAGACUUAUGUUUUACUAAAAAUUGCAAAAUGUCCAAAUAAAUUCAAUCUUGUUAUUCUUAUAAA
This is a non-coding RNA of Megalopta genalis, 517 nucleotides long. NCBI's taxonomy places the organism in Eukaryota, Metazoa, Arthropoda, Insecta, Hymenoptera, Halictidae. The record is from RefSeq and is a predicted model, not a curated record.